AAGGCGGUGAAUAACGAUAAGGUUUCCACGAACCCUUCGACGUCAUCGGGUGCCGUGGAAACUAGUCAGUCAGACACUGUGCGACGAUUUUAACACGUCAUUAGCCAACGUUCGCGGUUUUCGAUACCCACUUCUGGUUCCCGAAGAGAGCGUCCGUCGUCAUCUCGGCAAUAAUAAUAAUAAAUAAUAAUAACGUGCCCUGUGAAGCUUUGCUCGAUGUGGGUGGAUAGGUGCGGGCGGACGUGUUGACAAGAGACUCUAUGACGCUGAGUGGUCCGAAAAUAAAUCGGCACUUUGGCACACGGGUGGCGUUCUCUGGCGCAGUCGGGCAUUUAGCCGGUGUUUACAUCGAUAAACCUCAUCGCCGCAUGCGAAGCCGCCAUUACGAAACCAUCAACUCGCCCCCGAACCGUCUUCCGCGUUUACCUAUUCCACAAGAAAUUCACAACUCGUCCCUAACCAGUUUCUUGGAACGACGUCAAAAGCGCGUUUGCACAUCGCUGCUACAACGACGAUUCGCUCUAGGAUCGAUACGCAGCUGUUUCGGGGUGAAUUUUGACUUUACGGUUUUUUCAAACCAAAGUUAUGACAGCUUCCGAUCCUGUUAUUGCCGUUUAGACUUCUUCGCUAGCGAUAAAAUCUUAGACUUCGUCUCCGUGAUCUGGUGACACCGAAAUCGGAGGCCAGAGGGUGUGCUCCGGGUUAUUUAACAUAAGGAACGCGUUAACCGGGACAGAAUUACGCCUUCCUCUGUGUGGAAGAUACCGAGAUUCGAAGGAAAGGGGGACGAUAUUAUGCAAAUCACCGGCGUUUGCCUCGCAGCAUCGGUUUUAAUUGAAGGGAUACUUCAGCCCAGGGUCAAUACCUCCGGGGCACUCUGGUUUGAAAUUAUAUUAUACACUCUUACUAAUCAACGAAACAUUUAAAAGAACAUUUGGGAGGGUUGAAAGGGGACUGGAGAUCAUCACAGUCUCUCUUGAAUUAUUCUUCUACCUUAAUCUUUGCGGGUGUAGAAGGUACAGAGGGACUGAAUACUCGGGUCUUUUGUGUAGCGAAAAUCUGGAAGUGUCAUUUCUUGGAAAAUGGUGUUCGACGUAGUUUCAUGAAAUCAUUUCGAAGCUGCGAAAUAAAACUGAAUCGAUUCACGACUGAAACAGCUUUUCUCAGUUUCACAAUCAAUCACGGUUCCAACUGUUCUUCUCACCCCAGACUACAAGAUUUUUGUAAUGAAUUUUUGAAAACGUCGAGUUUGCCAAUAGAUUCUGAUAUUCCUGUCAAGCGUUCGCAGAUUCCAUCUUCACAAACGAAGGGAAAAAAGAACGGGGCGCUCACUGAUUGAAGAAUCGUCCGGCGCAUACGUCGGGACAAGUUAUGCCUCUGCUAAUGGACUCCUAGUCGAGCAUUCUGGUCGUGGCUGUGGCUGCGACGGCGGUGAGCCGUGUCACGGGCGAUGCUUGUCGUUGAAGUAUCGUUGCUUACCCGUCACCGAGAGACACGCUAGAUCAGCGUGAGUGAGCAGCGUGUCAGAGAGUUGCGUUCUAGAAAUAUCCCUAAUCAACCUGACUAGUCACUCGAGAGUUCACGAGGCGCUGCACGAGGCUGAUUUGACCAGUGCUUGGAGUCCUCCAAGAGCGCCAUAAAUCCGAAAAACGUCUCACCAGGGUGGCUAAGCCACGAGGCCUACGGUGAUGCUUCGACAAUCACUCCGAGGCACUUCUCUGUCGGAAGGGAAGUUGAUGGAAGUCUUUGGGAAGGAGUCUUCAUCCAGAGGCAGAGUCGGAUAGAAAUGGACAGACGAGAUUAGGGUUGACCCUGACCCGGCGAAAUGUUGACACUAAACGCGGACAAGUUGAGAGCAUUCAUCGUCGACGUCGUUGUCACCGUUGUUCUGGUAACGGUGUUGGGAGGCGAUCCGGACUCCGUUCCGUUGUCUCCGGAG
Molecule: long non-coding RNA, 1939 nt
Organism: Neodiprion fabricii
Lineage: Eukaryota; Metazoa; Arthropoda; Insecta; Hymenoptera; Diprionidae
Exons: 3
Source: RefSeq, a predicted model, not a curated record